CUCAAAUUUGAAAUCUGGCCCCUCGGGGUCCGAGUUGUAAUUUGUAGAGGAUGCUUUUGGUGAGGUGCCGCCCGAGUUCCCUGGAACGGGACGCCACAGAGGGUGAGAGCCCCGUCUGGCUGGCCACCGAGCCUCUGUAAAGCUCCUUCGACGAGUCGAGUAGUUUGGGAAUGCUGCUCAAAAUGGGAGGUAUAUGUCUUCUAAAGCUAAAUAUUGGCCAGAGACCGAUAGCGCACAAGUAGAGUGAUCGAAAGAUGAAAAGCACCUUGAAAAGAGGGUUAAAUAGUACGUGAAAUUGUUGAAAGGGAAGCGCUUGUGACCAGACUUGGGCGCGGCGGAUCAUCCGGGGUUCUCUCCGGUGCACUUCGCCGCGUCUAGGCCAGCAUCAGUUCGUCGCGGGGGAAAAAGGCUUCGGGAACGUGGCUCCUCCGGGAGUGUUAUAGCCCGUUGCAUAAUACCCUGCGGUGGACUGAGGACCGCGCAUCUGCAAGGAUGCUGGCGUAAUGGUCACCAGCGACCCGUCUUGAAACACGGACCAAGGAGUCGUCUUCGUAUGCGAGUGUUCGGGUGUCAAACCC
This 578-nucleotide ribosomal RNA is filed under the name Trichoderma virens. RNAcentral describes it as "eukaryotic LSU rRNA". It matches the Rfam family "Eukaryotic large subunit ribosomal RNA", at positions 108 to 709 of the family's 3401-position model. The record is from RNAcentral. Lineage: Eukaryota; Fungi; Ascomycota; Sordariomycetes; Hypocreales; Hypocreaceae.